GUAGUCAUAUGCUUGUCUCAAAGAUUAAGCCAUGCAUGUCUAAGUAUAAGCAAUUAUACCGCGAAACUGCGAAUGGCUCAUUAUAUAAGUUAUCGUUUAUUUGAUAGUACCUUACUACUUGGAUAACCGUGGUAAUUCUAGAGCUAAUACAUGCUAAAAAUCCCGACUUCGGAAGGGAUGUAUUUAUUAGAUUAAAAGCCAAUGCCCUCUGGGCUCUCUGGUGAUUCAUGAUAACUUCUCGAAUCGCAUGGCCUUGCGCCGGCGAUGGUUCAUUCAAAUUUCUUCCCUAUCAACUUUCGAUGUUUGGGUAUUGGCCAAACAUGGUUGCAACGGGUAACGGAGGGUUAGGGCUCGACCCCGGAGAAGGAGCCUGAGAAACGGCUACUACAUCCAAGGAAGGCAGCAGGCGCGCAAAUUACCCAAUCCCGACACGGGGAGGUAGUGACAAUAAAUACUGAUACAGGGCUCUUUUGGGUCUUGUAAUUGGAAUGAGUACAAUUUAAAUCCCUUAACGAGGAACAAUUGGAGGGCAAGUCUGGUGCCAGCAGCC
Molecule: ribosomal RNA, 550 nt
Filed under: uncultured eukaryote
Lineage: Eukaryota
Description: SSU rRNA
Rfam family: Eukaryotic small subunit ribosomal RNA
Source: RNAcentral